CCUUAGAGUUUGAUCCUGGCUCAGAUUGAACGCUGGCGGCAGGCUUAACACAUGCAAGUCGAGCGGAAACGAUGAUAGCUUGCUAUCAGGCGUCGAGCGGCGGACGGGUGAGUAAUACUUAGGAAUCUACCUAGUAGUGGGGGAUAGCACGGGGAAACUCGUAUUAAUACCGCAUACGACCUACGGGAGAAAGGGGGCAGUUUACUGCUCUCGCUAUUAGAUGAGCCUAAGUCGGAUUAGCUAGAUGGUGGGGUAAAGGCCUACCAUGGCGACGAUCUGUAGCUGGUCUGAGAGGAUGAUCAGCCACACCGGGACUGAGACACGGCCCGGACUCCUACGGGAGGCAGCAGUGGGGAAUAUUGGACAAUGGGGGAAACCCUGAUCCAGCCAUGCCGCGUGUGUGAAGAAGGCCUUUUGGUUGUAAAGCACUUUAAGCAGUGAAGAAGACUCCGUGGUUAAUACCCACGGACGAUGACAUUAGCUGCAGAAUAAGCACCGGCUAACUCUGUGCCAGCAGCCGCGGUAAUACAGAGGGUGCAAGCGUUAAUCGGAAUUACUGGGCGUAAAGGGAGCGUAGGUGGCUCUAUAAGUCAGAUGUGAAAUCCCCGGGCUCAACCUGGGAACUGCAUCUGAAACUGUAGAGCUAGAGUAUGUGAGAGGAAGGUAGAAUUCCAGGUGUAGCGGUGAAAUGCGUAGAGAUCUGGAGGAAUACCGAUGGCGAAGGCAGCCUUCUGGCAUAAUACUGACACUGAGGCUCGAAAGCGUGGGUAGCAAACAGGAUUAGAUACCCUGGUAGUCCACGCCGUAAACGAUGUCUACUAGUCGUUGGGUCCCUUGAGGACUUAGUGACGCAGCUAACGCAAUAAGUAGACCGCCUGGGGAGUACGGCCGCAAGGUUAAAACUCAAAUGAAUUGACGGGGGCCCGCACAAGCGGUGGAGCAUGUGGUUUAAUUCGAUGCAACGCGAAGAACCUUACCUGGUCUUGACAUAUCUAGAAUCCUGCAGAGAUGCGGGAGUGCCUUCGGGAAUUAGAAUACAGGUGCUGCAUGGCUGUCGUCAGCUCGUGUCGUGAGAUGUUGGGUUAAGUCCCGCAACGAGCGCAACCCUUGUCCUUAGUUACCAGCGGGUUAAGCCGGGAACUCUAAGGAUACUGCCAGUGACAAACUGGAGGAAGGCGGGGACGACGUCAAGUCAUCAUGGCCCUUACGACCAGGGCUACACACGUGCUACAAUGGUAGGUACAGAGGGCAGCUACACAGCGAUGUGAUGCGAAUCUCAAAAAGCCUAUCGUAGUCCAGAUUGGAGUCUGCAACUCGACUCCAUGAAGUAGGAAUCGCUAGUAAUCGCGGAUCAGAAUGCCGCGGUGAAUACGUUCCCGGGCCUUGUACACACCGCCCGUCACACCAUGGGAGUUGAUUGCACCAGAAGUGGAUAGCUUAACCUUCGGGGAGGCGUUCACCACGGUGUGGUUGAUGACUGGGGUGAAGUCGUAACAAGGUAGCCGUAGGGGAACCUGCGGCUGGAUCA
This 1528-nucleotide ribosomal RNA is filed under the name Psychrobacter sp. KJF7-10. RNAcentral's name for it is "bacterial SSU rRNA". It matches the Rfam family "Bacterial small subunit ribosomal RNA". Lineage: Bacteria; Pseudomonadati; Pseudomonadota; Gammaproteobacteria; Moraxellales; Moraxellaceae. The record is from RNAcentral.